GAUGAACGCUGGCGGCGUGCCUAACACAUGCAAGUCGAACGGAGUCCAGCCUUUAAGACCUUCGGGUCAAAGAGGGGAAGACUGAGUGGCGGACGGGUGAGUAACACGUGGGCAACCUGGCUCAUAGAGGGGGAUAACAGAGAGAAAUUUCUGCUAAUACCGCAUAAGCACACACUGCCGCAUGGCAGAGGGUGAAAAGAGAAUCGCUAUGAGAUGGACCCGCGUCUGAUUAGCCAGUUGGCAGGGUAAGAGCCUACCAAAGCGACGAUCAGUAGCCGAUCUGAGAGGAUGAACGGCCACAGUGGGACUGAGACACGGCCCAAACUCCUACGGGAGGCAGCAGUGGGGGAUAUUGCACAAUGGGGGGAACCCUGAUGCAGCGACGCCGCGUGAGUGAAGAAGUAUUUCGGUAUGUAAAGCUCUAUCAGCAGGGAAGAUAAUGUCAGUACCUGAAGAAGAAGCCCCGGCUAACUACGUG
This 478-nucleotide ribosomal RNA is filed under the name uncultured bacterium. RNAcentral's name for it is "partial 16S ribosomal RNA". It matches the Rfam family "Bacterial small subunit ribosomal RNA", at positions 28 to 507 of the family's 1533-position model. The record is from RNAcentral.